RNAcentral lists this microRNA precursor (105 nucleotides) under Canis lupus familiaris (dog). RNAcentral's name for it is "mir-8834 microRNA precursor family". It matches the Rfam family "mir-8834 microRNA precursor family". Lineage: Eukaryota; Metazoa; Chordata; Mammalia; Carnivora; Canidae. The record is from Rfam by way of RNAcentral. RNAcentral also lists the same sequence under 1 other name.
AGGAGCAACAGCCCUAGUGGCGGGGCCAGCUCUGGAAACCUGGAUUCAGCCCCUGCAGGAACUCCGGAGGUCUCCGUCUGCAGGGCCUGGAGGCUCCGGGGCGGG